AUUGAACGCUGGCGGCAUGCUUUACACAUGCAAGUCGAACGGUAACAGGCCUUCGGGUGCUGACGAGUGGCGAACGGGUGAGUAAUGCAUCGGAACGUGCCCAGAGGUUGGGGGUAACGCAGCGAAAGCUGUGCUAAUACCUCAUGUGAUCUGAGGAUGAAAGCGGGGGACCAGGCAGCAAUGUUUGGCCUCGCGCCUUUGUAACGGCCGAUGUCGGAUUAGGUAGUUGGUGGGGUAAAGGCCUACCAAGCCGACGAUCUGUAGCUGGUCUGAGAGCACGAACAGACACACUGGGAGUGAGACACGGCCCAGACUCCUACGGUAGGCAGCAGUGGGGAAUUUUGGACAAUGGGCGCAAGCCUGAUCCAGCAAUGCCGCGUGAGGGAAGAAGGCCUUCGGGUUGUAAACCGCUUUUGUACGGAACGAAAAGGCUCUGGCUAAUACCUGGGGAUGAUGACGGUACCGGAAGAAUAAGCACCGGCUAACUACGUG
This 492-nucleotide ribosomal RNA is filed under the name uncultured bacterium. Its description in RNAcentral is "partial 16S ribosomal RNA". It matches the Rfam family "Bacterial small subunit ribosomal RNA", at positions 30 to 507 of the family's 1533-position model. The record is from RNAcentral.